GAUGAACGCUGGCGGCGUGCUUAACACAUGCAAGUCGAACGAUGAAGCCCAGCUUGCUGGGUGGAUUAGUGGCGAACGGGUGAGUAACACGUGAGUAACCUGCCCUUGACUCUGGGAUAAGCCCGGGAAACUGGGUCUAAUACCGGAUAGGAGCGCCUGUCGCAUGACGGGUGUUGGAAAGAUUUUUCGGUCAUGGAUGGACUCGCGGCCUAUCAGCUUGUUGGUGAGGUAAUGGCUCACCAAGGCGACGACGGGUAGCCGGCCUGAGAGGGUGACCGGCCACACUGGGACUGAGACACGGCCCAGACUCCUACGGGAGGCAGCAGUGGGGAAUAUUGCACAAUGGGCGGAAGCCUGAUGCAGCGACGCCGCGUGAGGGAUGACGGCCUUCGGGUUGUAAACCUCCUUUCAAUAAGGGAAGAA
This 423-nucleotide ribosomal RNA is filed under the name Micrococcus sp. oral taxon F54. RNAcentral describes it as "bacterial SSU rRNA". It matches the Rfam family "Bacterial small subunit ribosomal RNA", at positions 28 to 449 of the family's 1533-position model. The record is from RNAcentral. Lineage: Bacteria; Bacillati; Actinomycetota; Actinomycetes; Micrococcales; Micrococcaceae.